RNA transcript from Megalops cyprinoides (Indo-Pacific tarpon), 2112 nucleotides. It is a transcript of the gene named transmembrane protein 265-like, with no coding region annotated. The record is from RefSeq and is a predicted model, not a curated record. NCBI's taxonomy places the organism in Eukaryota, Metazoa, Chordata, Actinopteri, Elopiformes, Megalopidae. The transcript has 3 exons.
CUUUGACAAGGAAGAAAAAUAUUAGUACAUUCUAUUGUACAUAUUGAAGGAGUAACCCAUGGCAUGGGGCCUCUACUUUGACAAGGAACAAAAAAAAAAAUAUUAGAUGAUGAAGUAUAGGUGAGAUGGUACAGAGUUCAGCCAUGGAAUAAAAAGGCUAUUUUUCCUAUCCUUUCAUUUACAAAAGAGGUGGUCUACCUAUGUAGGAGGACAUUUAGAUCAAUAUAAAUUACACCCAUAAUAUAUAUUUUUUGGUUGUUAAUUUAAUUUUGAUGGUUACAGAGAAACAGCCAAAACUGCAUCAGUGCUCAGCACUAAUUUUCCCUCUUUUCUCUCCCCAUCCUUCCCUAUCCUUCUCAUACCCCUCAUAUUCAUAUUUAGGACCCCUGUUCAGUCCCUACAGUGUGUCCUCAAACUCCCCUGACACACGUCCCCUGACGAGAAGCCCUGAUACUUCGGCACCCCCAGAAAACCAAUGACCAAAGUCCCUGAUGCUGCCACAUCAGUGGCAGAUGAGAGUGUACCCCUUCAAACAGUUCCGGGCAUGGGACGCAUGUCAGGUGACCAAAGUGAUAUCCCCACCGGUCAUGUCAGGGACUACAGACGACUGGCCAUUGGUAGCAUCAUCUGUGGAAUGUCCUGCAUUGGCAUCUUUGCUUUGAUUAAUUCUGUCAAGGUGCGAGAAAGAAGAACGUCAGACCCAGAAAAGGCUCAGAUUUACUCUCACAAGGCCUGGAAAUUCAGCCUCAUUGCUAUCGCAGUGUGGGUAGGAGUCAUCAUUCUCAUCCCUGUUCUCAUGGCUUUAGUAUCCUUCCUCCUCACACUGAAAAACUAGCCCAGUGUUUCCCAACUCUGGCCCUGGCUGUACGCUGUAUAUGCUAGUUUUCCUUCCAUCUAGGCUCUCAGUAAAUUCUGAUGAACAAAGCAAUUAAUUGUAUGAAUUGAAUACUGAUCUGGAAUUGGCAGAAGUAUCUGCAGGUAGUUCUUCUGUUCAGCUGGGGGCACACAAACGCAAUGAUCUGUCAAAAAAUGUUGGCGGUCAACCAUGAACUGUCUUCACCACGGUGCAUCCUAUAGUCUGUAGUUGCCCACUGUUGAUAGCCAUCAUUCUCAAUUCAACACGCAAAAUCGGUGUUAGCCAUUGGUGAAUUUUUUAGAAACAGAACAAGAAACAUUCCAAUAUCAUACGGAUCAGUAUUUACUCCACAGGUUACUGAAACCUCAAGUGAAAACAAAACCAAUGAGAGCUCAGGAGAAGCAAAAACCAUCACAUGUGGUUUGCCUCCAAGACUAGGGCUGGGAAACACUGGAUUUUACCUAGCUCUCCCCACAGUUUUAUGCAUAAUUGUUAGUCUGGAGGGUUUAUUGUUAAAUGGGUUUGCAACAUUUUCUGUUCCAAAGAUAAUUACGCAUUUGUUCAUGUUCUAAACACGCACCUCACUCCCAUUUCCAUACUACAUCUUUUUAAAUACAGAAAUAUUUUCAGCCCAGUCUCUUAAUGAACCUAGGUAUAUUAAUAUUUGUUUGGACAACAUGUAUCAGACCACAAUGGAGGUCAUUUAUGUAGCCUACUAACUAACUACUACACACAUAGGCUACAUAAAGUAGCAUUAGUGGAUAGUGGAGCUUCAGCUCGUCUUCUGAAGUGAAUAUCAUGUUUUGUGUACACAUGAAGGGAUAUGCAUGAGCAUGCAUACAUUGAGCAAUAGUUAAAUUAUGUUCUUAUUUUGAGAACAUUAACUUGUCUUUGGUUACUUGGUUACUUUUCUCCUGUGCAUUCUUCUGACCAAGGUACACUGAAGUUAAAGAAAGCUGAUUUCAUACUGAAGAUGAACAAAACAUAUUACAUGUACAAGGUUGAGCAACUACUGUCCAUCUACUUACGGCAAUAACCAGACAAUUAGCAGGGUUGCUCUCCUUAGCCAUCACAUCUUUCAAAAAUAUCUAACAUUACUAAUAAUUUUCUGUUUCAUCAAUGAAACACCAGUUUUCAUGAUUUAAAAAAUGGACAAUGCCACUGCAACAUUUUGAUCAGCAGAAUAUAUACAAAGUUCAUUUUUGUUCAUUUGUUUUGUAUAGACUGGUGCCCAACUUGAAAGAAAUUAAUAUAUU